GAUGAACGCUGGCGGCGUGCCUAAUACAUGCAAGUCGAGCGAACGGACGAGAAGCUUGCUUCUCUGAUGUUAGCGGCGGACGGGUGAGUAACACGUGGAUAACCUACCUAUAAGACUGGGAUAACUUCGGGAAACCGGAGCUAAUACCGGAUAAUAUUUUGAACCGCAUGGUUCAAAAGUGAAAGACGGUCUUGCUGUCACUUAUAGAUGGAUCCGCGCUGCAUUAGCUAGUUGGUAAGGUAACGGCUUACCAAGGCAACGAUGCAUAGCCGACCUGAGAGGGUGAUCGGCCACACUGGAACUGAGACACGGUCCAGACUCCUACGGGAGGCAGCAGUAGGGAAUCUUCCGCAAUGGGCGAAAGCCUGACGGAGCAACGCCGCGUGAGUGAUGAAGGUCUUCGGAUCGUAAAACUCUGUUAUUAGGGAAGAACAUAUGUGUAAGUAACUGUGCACAUCUUGACGGUACCUAAUCAGAAAGCCACGGCUAACUACGUGCCAGCAGCCGCGGUAAUACGUAGGUGGCAAGCGUUAUCCGGAAUUAUUGGGCGUAAAGCGCGCGUAGGCGGUUUUUUAAGUCUGAUGUGAAAGCCCACGGCUCAACCGUGGAGGGUCAUUGGAAACUGGAAAACUUGAGUGCAGAAGAGGAAAGUGGAAUUCCAUGUGUAGCGGUGAAAUGCGCAGAGAUAUGGAGGAACACCAGUGGCGAAGGCGACUUUCUGGUCUGUAACUGACGCUGAUGUGCGAAAGCGUGGGGAUCAAACAGGAUUAGAUACCCUGGUAGUCCACGCCGUAAACGAUGAGUGCUAAGUGUUAGGGGGUUUCCGCCCCUUAGUGCUGCAGCUAACGCAUUAAGCACUCCGCCUGGGGAGUACGACCGCAAGGUUGAAACUCAAAGGAAUUGACGGGGACCCGCACAAGCGGUGGAGCAUGUGGUUUAAUUCGAAGCAACGCGAAGAACCUUACCAAAUCUUGACAUCCUUUGACAACUCUAGAGAUAGAGCCUUCCCCUUCGGGGGACAAAGUGACAGGUGGUGCAUGGUUGUCGUCAGCUCGUGUCGUGAGAUGUUGGGUUAAGUCCCGCAACGAGCGCAACCCUUAAGCUUAGUUGCCAUCAUUAAGUUGGGCACUCUAAGUUGACUGCCGGUGACAAACCGGAGGAAGGUGGGGAUGACGUCAAAUCAUCAUGCCCCUUAUGAUUUGGGCUACACACGUGCUACAAUGGACAAUACAAAGGGCAGCGAAACCGCGAGGUCAAGCAAAUCCCAUAAAGUUGUUCUCAGUUCGGAUUGUAGUCGGCAACUCGACUACAUGAAGCUGGAAUCGCUAGUAAUCGUAGAUCAGCAUGCUACGGUGAAUACGUUCCCGGGUCU
Molecule: ribosomal RNA, 1372 nt
Filed under: uncultured bacterium
Lineage: Bacteria
Description: bacterial SSU rRNA
Rfam family: Bacterial small subunit ribosomal RNA
Source: RNAcentral